This 253-nucleotide ribosomal RNA is filed under the name uncultured bacterium. RNAcentral's name for it is "partial 16S ribosomal RNA". It matches the Rfam family "Bacterial small subunit ribosomal RNA", at positions 524 to 776 of the family's 1533-position model. The record is from RNAcentral.
UACGUAGGGGGCAAGCGUUGUCCGGAAUCAUUGGGCGUAAAGAGCGCGUAGGCGGUCCGGUAAGUCCGCUCUGAAAGUCCGGGGCUCAACCCCGGGAGGCGGGCGGAUACUGUCGGGCUAGAGUCCGGAAGAGGAGAGUGGAAUUCCUGGUGUAGCGGUGAAAUGCGCAGAUAUCAGGAGGAACACCAAUGGCGAAGGCAGCUCGCUGGGACGGUACUGACGCUGAGGCGCGAAAGCGUGGGGAGCAAACAGG